Molecule: ribosomal RNA, 254 nt
Filed under: uncultured bacterium
Lineage: Bacteria
Description: partial 16S ribosomal RNA
Rfam family: Bacterial small subunit ribosomal RNA
Source: RNAcentral
CACGUAGGCACCAAGCGUUGUCCGGAUUUAUUGGGCGUAAAGAGCUCGUAGACGGUUCAGUAAGUCGGGUGUGAAAACUCUGGGCUUAACCCAGAGACGCCACCCGAUACUGCUGUGACUUGAGUACGGUAGGGGAGCAGGGAAUUCCUGGUGUAGCGGUGAAAUGCGCAGAUAUCAGGAGGAACACCAAUAGCGAAGGCAGCUCGCUGGGACGUUACUGACACUGAGGCGCGAAAGCGUGGGGAGCGAACAGG